CGGCGCUGAGGACGGGCGCUGAGGAGGCGGCGGUGGCUCCUGGGGCGUUUGAGCGGGCUCACUCGAGCCCGCGGGCCGACGCGGACGCAGGCCCAGCCGGCGGAACCGCCCCGGACUCCCCGCGGGCCUUCCUAGCCGCCAUGGAGGACGGUGUCUACGAGCCCCCAGACUUGACUCCAGAGGAGCGCAUGGAGUUGGAGAACAUCCGGCGGCGCAAGCAGGAGCUGCUGGUGGAGAUCCAGCGCCUGCGAGAAGAGCUAAGUGAAGCUAUGAGCGAGGUGGAGGGUCUGGAGGCCAAUGAGGGCAGUAAGACCUUGCAGCGGAACCGGAAGAUGGCAAUGGGCAGGAAGAAAUUCAACAUGGACCCCAAAAAGGGGAUCCAAUUCUUGGUGGAGCAUGAACUUCUGCAGAACACGCCUGAGGAAAUUGCCCGCUUCCUGUACAAGGGCGAGGGGCUGAACAAGACAGCCAUUGGGGACUACCUAGGGGAAAGGGAAGAGCUGAACCUGUCUGUGCUCCAUGCUUUUGUGGAUCUCCAUGAGUUCACCGACCUCAACCUGGUGCAGGCCCUCCGGCAAUUCCUAUGGAGCUUUCGCCUCCCUGGAGAGGCUCAGAAAAUUGAUCGAAUGAUGGAGGCCUUUGCCCAGAGAUACUGCUUAUGCAACCCUGGGGUCUUCCAGUCUACAGACACCUGCUACGUGUUGUCCUUUGCCGUGAUCAUGCUGAACACCAGCCUUCACAAUCCCAAUGUCAGGGACAAGCCGGGCCUGGAGCGCUUUGUGGCCAUGAACCGGGGCAUCAACGAGGGUGGGGAUCUGCCUGAGGAUCUUCUCAGGAACCUCUACGACAGCAUCCGGAACGAGCCCUUCAAAAUCCCAGAGGAUGAUGGGAAUGAUCUCACCCACACCUUCUUCAACCCAGACCGAGAGGGCUGGCUCCUAAAGCUGGGUACGUCCCUUCCUGAGCCUGCUGGCCACCUUGCAGGGACACUAGCAGCCUGGGUCAUGACCAACCGUCCUCAGUUUUUGCACCUUUGAGAACCUCAAGUUUCCACAACUGAAAAAUGGGGCUGAAAUCAAGAGCAGAUUUGUCUGUGUGCUGGGCCUGAUGAGCCAGGCUCUUACCUCCCUUAGUAAAAACCUCCCAGGCCCAGGACAGGAUCAGAUGCUUGGCAGAUGGCUCUAGACUUGGCCUUAUUGUCGGCCCGCUGAAUGUCAGCCCAAGGUGAGCCAACAUAGAGAUAACUUUGGGCUUCAGGCCUUCCUGAGGAGGGAACAGGAGUGAUGUAGGCAGAUGGUUUUAGGUGACUCUUGAGUUCCCGGUUGGAAGUGUGAUAUGGCACCGUGUUUUAACCAGCUGCUCAGUUAUCCAGGGCCAGAGACAGUAACCAGGAGAGUUGCUCUGAGCUGCAGGUGCUGUGAACCCUGAGGCUGAUGCAGGCAGGAUCUGGGUACUGGCCAGCCGUUAGUAACUACAGCUCCUCAGACACUCGAAGUACAGCUAGGGGUCCCGUGCCAAGCUGGAGGGAUAGUGGCGGGGCUGCCCGGACACUGCUCAGAGCCAGAGCGUGAGAGCUGUAGCUAGGCUCUCCCCGCAGAGUGAGGGUAGACUCGGGCCUCACUUUCCUUGGGCUGGUCAGCAGUGGCUUUGGCAUCCCUCCAGGCCUUUAGGUCCUGUCCUGCCUUGUUGAUAUGUGCUCACCAAACAAGGCACUGUGUCUUCACAGCCAGUGUGCUAUCCUGGUGACUAUACACGGCCCUUGCUGGGCAGCACCUGGCCCUGACCCCUUUGUAGGGUGCAGGGAAGUUAGUAAGAUGAAAAAGAUCGGGUUCCUCAGCAGAGAGUGGUUCAGGGGGAGCAAGAAGGCAACUUCCCCCAAAAUGGGGCUCUGAGCUGCUCUGCCAACAGUAGUUUCCAUUUCUCAUUUGAAGAAACUGAGGCUCAAAGGUGCCUUGCCAGUAAGAUGCAUCUCUACUCCCACUGGUUCAUCCAGAGGCCAUCUUGUCCCAGACAAGAUAUGGGUGGGUGGGUCUCCAGAGAGAGCCAGGGGCUUGGUAAGAUCGCCCCCACCCCUUAGAUCUGGGUAGAGGUGUCAGGGCUAUCCUGGCCAGGCUGAGCAAGGUGGGCAGGGCAGGGGGAGGGCCGGCUCCACCCCAUGUAGAUGUAACUGGUUUUCUUCCUCUCUCCCCCUCCCCUCUGCCUGUUCUCUUGCUGUGGCUCUGGCUCCCUGUGCAUCCCUUCCCUGACCCCCUAUUUCUGUCGCUGCGAUUCUUGGGGGCACCCCAUCCCUCCGCCUUCCCUUCCACACCUGGUCCUGCCUGCUUUCUCGCUGUCUGCCCCAGGAGCGGUUCCCCGCUGAGCCCGGCCCCUCCCACCCCUUCCCUUGCAGGGGGCCGGGUGAAGACUUGGAAGCGGCGCUGGUUCAUCCUUACAGACAACUGCCUCUACUACUUUGAAUACACUACGGACAAGGAGCCCCGAGGGAUUAUCCCCCUAGAGAACCUGAGCAUCCGGGAGGUGGACGAUCCUCGGAAGCCGAACUGCUUUGAGCUUUACAUUCCCAACAAUAAGGGACAGCUCAUCAAAGCCUGCAAAACAGAGGCUGACGGCCGGGUAGUGGAGGGGAACCACAUGGUGUACCGAAUCUCAGCACCCACCCAGGAGGAGAAAGAUGAGUGGAUCAAAUCCAUCCAGGCUGCUGUAAGUGUGGACCCCUUCUAUGAGAUGUUGGCAGCAAGAAAGAAGCGAAUUUCUGUGAAGAAGAAGCAAGAACAACCCUGACCCCUGUCCCCAACUCCAUUAUUUAUUUUGGAGCUGCCCCGCCUGGGUGGCAGGACCCCUGGGCCCUGGGGCUGUGGAUCCUGGUUCCCCAUUUGGAAAAUCACCACCUCUAGCUCCUGACUCCUUAUUUGUAAUUAACAUGUUGGUAAUCUUAUUAAUUAUUUAAUCCCUUGCGCCUGCAGAUGCCCUCAUUUCUUGGGUUUGGGAGAGCUGAGGACCCAUCCCCUUGACAUUUACCAGGAUGCUGGGCUGCAUAUAGGGUGCAGACAGGCACAUCCCAGACAAGUCACUCAAGCCCUGUGGGUGCUGAGUGCAGAGAGAGUUUACUGUCUCAGUGUGGUAUUUAGGCACAGCAUACUCUCCAUGUGCUCUGCCCACCAUGUUAAUGUUGGACCUGUGCUCAUUGGAGACCUAGCCUAGCACAGGAGACUAAGACUAAAACAACAAAGGACUGGCUCAGGAGGGAGCAAGUCCUGAGAAGGCCCCGAGUCGGUCACUAGGAACUGGCUGUGCUGUCCAUGAGUACCCCAGAGUGUACUAGAGGAGGGGGCACAGCGCUAUCAGGAGGUACCUGGGAUGCCAUUGUGACAGUGGCCUCUUCUAACCCCAGAUCUAGCCUCCUGUGGAGGUGUGUGUUUCUGACUCAUGAGAGGGGAUCUCGGUGAAGGAAUAAUGCAGAGACCCCAAUGGUCUUGUGCUCCUGUGCUGCUGGGGGAAUAGUCUGCCCACAUUUAGCCUGGAAGCUUUUUUGUUACUCUUCCUGGCCUGUGGUGAGCUUAAAGUCUGAAUCCUGCCUGCUUCUUCCCAGCAUGCUUUAGCAUGCAGGCUUGACUGGGAAGAAUGAAUGCUGUCCCGGAGCCUUCUGGGAAUUAAGAUUCCAGAACGUGUGUAUUGGAUUUGCAAACCCCUGUGGGUGUGUACCCCAACAGCACUGAUCUGGGUAAGGGGGAGCAUCCAGGCUCUAUUUUAGGUGGGCUUUGGCUCAGGCUACGUGUCAAUAGACAGUGGCAGUCUUCACAGUGGCCGUCUUGUCUCCUAGGAAAAGGUCAUGAAUUACUAUUCCCCUGCCCCCAGGGGCUGCUGUGAAAUGGAGAUUCCCAAAUAAAACAACAUGAGUGUCACCCAAA
Molecule: RNA transcript, 3908 nt
Organism: Mus musculus (house mouse)
Lineage: Eukaryota; Metazoa; Chordata; Mammalia; Rodentia; Muridae
Gene: Cyth2
Gene name: cytohesin 2
Exons: 12
Source: RefSeq, marked validated